AAAGAGCGAGGAUGUCGAGAUCUGUGGCUAGGGUUCCGGCGAAUCGGGAAAGAGAUGAUUAUCGGAACUACGGUGCUCCUGCGAUUGUGCCGGCAUUCUCUCCGACGGCGUUCCUCUUCUGAUGCUCCAUUGCAUUGCAUGCAGCUUCUCAUGAUGAUGAUGAUGAUGAUGAUGAAAACGCAGUGUAGUUUAUCUUUUUUUUCUUUUGUUAUUCUGUGAAUGCUUUCCGUCUUUCUAGUGCUAUGUAUGUGUUUGUGAUGUUGGGAAAUGAAAUGCUUUUAAUACCCGAA
Dioscorea cayenensis subsp. rotundata (Guinea yam) is the source of this 290-nucleotide long non-coding RNA. RefSeq lists it as uncharacterized. Lineage: Eukaryota; Viridiplantae; Streptophyta; Magnoliopsida; Dioscoreales; Dioscoreaceae. The record is from RefSeq and is a predicted model, not a curated record. The transcript has 2 exons.